RNAcentral lists this ribosomal RNA (497 nucleotides) under uncultured bacterium. RNAcentral's name for it is "partial 16S ribosomal RNA". It matches the Rfam family "Bacterial small subunit ribosomal RNA", at positions 28 to 507 of the family's 1533-position model. The record is from RNAcentral.
GAUGAACGCUGGCGGCGUGCCUAAUACAUGCAAGUCGAGCGAACAGACGAGGAGCUUGCUCCUCUGACGUUAGCGGCGGACGGGUGAGUAACACGUGGAUAACCUACCUAUAAGACUGGGAUAACUUCGGGAAACCGGAGCUAAUACCGGAUAAUAUAUUGAACCGCAUGGUUCAAUAGUGAAAGACGGUUUUGCUGUCACUUAUAGAUGGAUCCGCGCCGCAUUAGCUAGUUGGUAAGGUAACGGCUUACCAAGGCAACGAUGCGUAGCCGACCUGAGAGGGUGAUCGGCCACACUGGAACUGAGACACGGUCCAGACUCCUACGGGAGGCAGCAGUAGGGAAUCCUCCGCAAUGGGCGAAAGCCUGACGGAGCAACGCCGCGUGAGUGAUGAAGGUCUUCGGAUCGUAAAACUCUGUUAUUGGGGAAGAACAAAUGUGUAAGUAACUAUGCACGUCUUGACGGUACCUAAUCAGAAAGCCACGGCUAACUACGUG